AUACGUAGGUGACAAGCGUUAUCCGGAUUUACUGGGCGUAAAGGGCGUGUAGGCGGUCUUGCAAGUCAGAAGUGAAAUUCCUGAGCUCAACUCGGGCGCUGCUUCUGAAACUGCAGGACUUGAGUGCUGGAGGGGAUAGCGGAAUUCCUAGUGGAGCGGUAAAAUGCGCAGAUAUUAGGAAGAACACCGGUGGGGAAGGCGGCUAUCGGGACAGUAACUGACGCUGAGGCGCGAAAGCGUGGGGAGCAAACAGGAUUAUAUCCCCUGGUAGUCCACGCCGUAAACGAUGAAUACUAGGUGUAGGGGGUAUCGACUCCCUCUGUGCCGCAGUUAACACAAUAAGUAUUCCGCCUGGGGAGUACGGCCGCAAGGUUGAAACUCAAAUGAAUUGACGGGG
This 397-nucleotide ribosomal RNA is filed under the name uncultured bacterium. RNAcentral's name for it is "partial 16S ribosomal RNA". It matches the Rfam family "Bacterial small subunit ribosomal RNA", at positions 523 to 918 of the family's 1533-position model. The record is from RNAcentral.